Molecule: long non-coding RNA, 474 nt
Filed under: Homo sapiens (human)
Lineage: Eukaryota; Metazoa; Chordata; Mammalia; Primates; Hominidae
Description: HSALNT0107200
Source: RNAcentral
UCCAGCAGGAGGCUUACAAAGCAAGUAUUCCCUGCAAUAAGAUUAGCAAACUGAAGUUCAAAGAAUUGGAUAACCUAGCCCAAGAUCAGACCUUUGGAGAAUGAAAGAAUCUGGAUUUGCACCCGGAACUUACUGGCUUCCACCUCUAAACACCAGCUUCCCUGUUCCAACUUUUCUAAAGUUGAAUGUUCUUCAUACAAAUAUCAGCAGGAAGACAUUGAGGCACAAAAUAAAUGGGGUAUUGUAUGAGAAUGCCUAGCUUUCAAUGAGCUUAUGUCUCCAAGCUUGGACAAAUUCCGGCUGGGGUACCAACAGAAUUUAUAUAUGAGAAGACUGUUGGCAGCUUUUCAGGGACUGUGGGGCCGGGGAGAGACGCCAGAAGACUGUGGCUGGGUACACACUAUUCCAUUUUGUGAAAAGGGGAAGAAGGUUGAUUCUGCAAACCAUAGAUGCCAGAGUCCUGGGCAAAGUUCU